RNAcentral lists this ribosomal RNA (188 nucleotides) under Batagur dhongoka (three-striped roofed turtle). Its description in RNAcentral is "partial 12S ribosomal RNA". The record is from RNAcentral. Lineage: Eukaryota; Metazoa; Chordata; Testudines; Geoemydidae.
ACGCUUUCGUAACUUAGAACUUCAGCAUACAUGAUAUCCGCCAGAGAACUACGAGCAAUGCUUAGACUCAGAGGACUUGGCGGUACCUCAUACCCCCCUAGAGGAGCCUGUUCUAUAAUCGAUAAUCCACGAUACACCUCACCAUCUCUUGCCAAUUCCGCCUAUAUACCGCCAUCUUCAGCAAACAA